UACGUAGGGUGCGAGCGUUGUCCGGAAUUAUUGGGCGUAAAGAGCUCGUAGGCGGUGUGUCACGUCGGCCGUGAAAACCUGCAGCUUAACUGUGGCGUGCGGUCGAUACGGGCAUCACUGGAGUUCGGCAGGGAGACUGGAAUUCCUGGUGUAGCGGUGAAAUGCGCAGAUAUCAGGAGGAACACCGGUGGCGAAGGCGGGUCUCUGGGCCGAUACUGACGCUGGAGGAGCGAAA
This 235-nucleotide ribosomal RNA is filed under the name uncultured bacterium. Its description in RNAcentral is "partial 16S ribosomal RNA". It matches the Rfam family "Bacterial small subunit ribosomal RNA", at positions 524 to 758 of the family's 1533-position model. The record is from RNAcentral.